AAGCCAGCUUGACUGCGAGCGUGACGGCGCGAGCAGGUGCGAAAGCAGGUCAUAGUGAUCCGGUGGUUCUGAAUGGAAGGGCCAUCGCUCAACGGAUAAAAGGUACUCCGGGGAUAACAGGCUGAUACCGCCCAAGAGUUCAUAUCGACGGCGGUGUUUGGCACCUCGAUGUCGGCUCAUCACAUCCUGGGGCUGAAGUAGGUCCCAAGGGUAUGGCUGUUCGCCAUUUAAAGUGGUACGCGAGCUGGGUUUAGAACGUCGUGAGACAGUUCGGUCCCUAUCUGCCGUGGGCGCUGGAGAACUGAGGGGGGCUGCUCCUAGUACGAGAGGACCGGAGUGGACGCAUCACUGGUGUUCGGGUUGUCAUGCCAAUGGCACUGCCCGGUAGCUAAAUGCGGAAGAGAUAAGUGCUGAAAGCAUCUAAGCACGAAACUUGCCCCGAGAUGAGUUCUCCCUGACCCUUUAAGGGUCCUGAAGGAACGUUGAAGACGACGACGUUGAUAGGCCGGGUGUGUAAGCGCAGCGAUGCGUUGAGCUAACCGGUACUAAUGAACCGUGAGGCUUAACCUUACAAC
RNAcentral lists this ribosomal RNA (575 nucleotides) under Escherichia coli. Its description in RNAcentral is "partial 23S ribosomal RNA". It matches the Rfam family "Bacterial large subunit ribosomal RNA", at positions 2361 to 2925 of the family's 2925-position model. Lineage: Bacteria; Pseudomonadati; Pseudomonadota; Gammaproteobacteria; Enterobacterales; Enterobacteriaceae. The record is from RNAcentral.